CGGAGGGAGCUAGCGUUGUUCGGAAUUACUGGGCGUAAAGCGCGCGUAGGCGGCUUUGUAAGUCAGGGGUGAAAUCCCGGGGCUCAACCCCGGAACUGCCUUUGAAACUGCAUCGCUUGAAUCCGGGAGAGGUGAGUGGAAUUCCGAGUGUAGAGGUGAAAUUCGUAGAUAUUCGGAAGAACACCAGUGGCGAAGGCGGCUCACUGGACCGGUAUUGACGCUGAUGUGCGAAAGCGUGGGGAGCAAACAGGAUUAGAUACCCUGGUAGUCCACGCCGUAAACGAUGAUGACUAGCUGUCGGGGGCCAUGGGCUUUCGGUGGCGCAGCUAACGCAUUAAGUCAUCCGCCUGGGGAGUACGGCCGCAAGGUUA
This 371-nucleotide ribosomal RNA is filed under the name uncultured organism. RNAcentral describes it as "bacterial SSU rRNA". It matches the Rfam family "Bacterial small subunit ribosomal RNA", at positions 526 to 896 of the family's 1533-position model. The record is from RNAcentral.